AUUGAACGCUGGCGGCAUGCUUUACACAUGCAAGUCGAACGGUAACAGGCCGCAAGGUGCUGACGAGUGGCGAACGGGUGAGUAAUGCAUCGGAACGUGCCCAGUCGUGGGGGAUAACUACUCGAAAGAGUAGCUAAUACCGCAUACGAUCUAUGGAUGAAAGCGGGGGACCGUAAGGCCUCGCGCGAUUUGAGCGGCCGAUGUCAGAUUAGGUAGUUGGUGGGGUAAAGGCUCACCAAGCCAACGAUCUGUAGCUGGUCUGAGAGGACGACCAGCCACACUGGGACUGAGACACGGCCCAGACUCCUACGGGAGGCAGCAGUGGGGAAUUUUGGACAAAGGGCGCAAGCCUGAUCCAGCAAUGCCGCGUGCAGGAAGAAGGCCUUCGGGUUGUAAACUGCUUUUGUACGGAACGAAACGGCUCUGGUUAAUACCCGGGGCUAAUGACGGUACCGUAAGAAUAAGCACCGGCUAACUACGUG
RNAcentral lists this ribosomal RNA (482 nucleotides) under uncultured bacterium. RNAcentral's name for it is "partial 16S ribosomal RNA". It matches the Rfam family "Bacterial small subunit ribosomal RNA", at positions 30 to 507 of the family's 1533-position model. The record is from RNAcentral.